AAGUCCUACGGGUGGCAGCAGUGGGGAAUUUUCCGCAAUGGGCGAAAGCCUGACGGAGCGACGCCGCGUGGGGGAUGAAGGCCUUCGGGUCGUAAACCCCUGUCAGAGGGAAAGAAGGGUGUCGGCGUGAAUAGCGCCGGCAUCUGACGGUACCUUCAGAGGAAGCCCCGGCCAACUCUGUGCCAGCAGCCGCGGUAAGACAGAGGGGGCAAGCGUUGCUCGGAAUCACUGGGCGUAAAGGGCGCGUAGGCGGGAUGGCAAGUCAGUCGUGAAAUCUCUCGGCUCAACCGAGAAACGUCGGCUGAUACUGCCGUUCUUGAGGGAUGCAGAGGAGACUGGAAUUCCCGGUGUAGCGGUGAAAUGUGUAGAGAUCGGGAGGAACACCGGUGGCGAAGGCGGGUCUCUGGGCAUUUCCUGACGCUGAGGCGCGAAAGCGUGGGGAGCAAACGGGAUUAGAUACCCUAGUAGUCC
This 471-nucleotide ribosomal RNA is filed under the name Escherichia coli. RNAcentral describes it as "bacterial SSU rRNA". It matches the Rfam family "Bacterial small subunit ribosomal RNA", at positions 334 to 796 of the family's 1533-position model. The record is from RNAcentral. Lineage: Bacteria; Pseudomonadati; Pseudomonadota; Gammaproteobacteria; Enterobacterales; Enterobacteriaceae.